This 254-nucleotide unclassified non-coding RNA is filed under the name uncultured bacterium. RNAcentral's name for it is "contains 16S-23S intergenic spacer region". It matches the Rfam family "Bacterial small subunit ribosomal RNA", at positions 524 to 776 of the family's 1533-position model. The record is from RNAcentral.
GACGAGGGGGGCGAGUGUUAUUCAACGUGAUUGGGCGUAAAGGGUACGUAGGCAGGUCUCGUCAUAAGGUGGUCAUGCAGCACGGCGCAACCGUGGGGGGCCACCUCUCCAAUGAGUGACCUUGAGUCCAGUAGAGGUUUGCGGUAUUCUUAGAGUAGCUCAGACGGUGUAGAAUCUAAGGAGACCCUCAGGUGCGAAGGCGGCAAACCAUUCCUGACUGACGCUGAGGUACGGAGGCUUGGGGAUCGAACAGG